GACUAUGGUAUUUCACAUUUUGAAGUUUAAAUUGAUGAUAGAUUAUAAAUGGGACAUGCCGAGUCUGCUUUAAAGACUACAUAUGAUUCAGGGCUCUGGAGCUUCAAAAGUGUCUGAAGUUGAUGAAGUAGCAUGAUGUCUUCUCUUCGAAGAUGAUGUCUUUUUGUUAUCUUUUCUAGAAAAUGAACUGGACUUCUUCCGGGAGCUGCAGGGAGACCAAAAGUUCUCUGAUUCUGCAACUCUCUUGCAGCCAACACUAAGAAUCCAUCCACUUUUUCCGAAAUCCUUAGUUUGCUGCUUCCUAUUGAUGGAAACAAGCUUCUUACAGUCUCUCUCGAAAAGGUACUCCUCCAACUCGAAAGGCUCCUGUUGCUCUUGCAGAAGCUGUCUCAAUGGUGAUCUUGGUGUCAUGGAUGCUAUGAAGAAGAAAGGUUGAAAUGCAAGUAGAGAAUGGAAGAACAUAUAAUAAUUACAAAGACAAUUCAGUUUUAGUUGGAGGAGAGGAUUAUGUGGUGCAGAUUAAUAAAUCAUGGAUAGAUCAGAAAAAGCCUACCUGUCAGAAUCUGAUUUAUCAUUGCCUUGAAACAGACUGAGAUACCGAAGAAGAGCGAGACACACACGCAA
This is a long non-coding RNA of Cucurbita moschata (crookneck pumpkin), 624 nucleotides long. RefSeq lists it as uncharacterized. The transcript has 3 exons. NCBI's taxonomy places the organism in Eukaryota, Viridiplantae, Streptophyta, Magnoliopsida, Cucurbitales, Cucurbitaceae. The record is from RefSeq and is a predicted model, not a curated record.